Mytilus californianus (California mussel) is the source of this 726-nucleotide long non-coding RNA. RefSeq lists it as uncharacterized. The transcript has 3 exons. Lineage: Eukaryota; Metazoa; Mollusca; Bivalvia; Mytilida; Mytilidae. The record is from RefSeq and is a predicted model, not a curated record.
CUCUGCCCUAUUACGUGUCAGUAACCUCCUCGACACGGUUCAUUUUUACGGCGGCUCAGUUUUGUCUUAAGAAUAAACAUAAUUGAUAAGUUUCUUUCCCCUGCAUUCCUCGAUCGCACUUGUAAAUAGCACAUUGGUCUCAAGACAUUGGUACAACACUUGCCGUCAGUACUCAAAAUUGGAAAAAUAUUAAAUAAGAAGGUUGCCAGCAAGAUGAAAAGAACAAUGCAGUUCAAAAGUCAAAAUGUGGAUAAGCUGUGGUACAAGGUCCUACUUUUGCAGAUUUUCAUAUUUUGCAUGAAUGAAUUUGAAGUUUAUAUCAUGGAGGGCAGAGAAAGAAAAGAAACACUUCAAUUUUCCUGCUUCUGAAGGAUAAAUGUAAAACAUCUUGUUCGAAGGAUUGAAAUUCAUCACUGAGAAUAAAAGGAGAAAACACAGAAACAAGACCAAAAUAAAUUCAAAGACAAAAGUCAGAUCAGUUAUUAUUUUCAUCACUCAGUCAAUGAAUUGAAGUUCUAUUAAAUAUCUAAAGAUAUUAAAACCACAAUAAUGACAAUGUUCUGUGCUGAAUGGCCAAAAAGUGGACUAUACAUUACGAUCACACAAUGCUGGAUGAUAAGAAACUAUUAAGUUUUUUGGGUGGAGGGAUAUCCUGAAAAAAAAAAUAGAUUUAUGUAAAAAGCUAGUAGUAUGUUAAGCCUAUUAAUAGAGUUUUCAUUGAUUUCA